RNAcentral lists this transfer RNA (73 nucleotides) under Chimarrogale leander. Its description in RNAcentral is "tRNA-Asn". The record is from RNAcentral. Lineage: Eukaryota; Metazoa; Chordata; Mammalia; Eulipotyphla; Soricidae.
UAGAUUGAAGCCAGUUGCUUAGGGUAUUUAGCUGUUAACUAAAAUUUCGUGGGAUGAUAGCCCACCAAUCUAG